This 412-nucleotide ribosomal RNA is filed under the name uncultured bacterium. RNAcentral's name for it is "bacterial SSU rRNA". It matches the Rfam family "Bacterial small subunit ribosomal RNA", at positions 355 to 764 of the family's 1533-position model. The record is from RNAcentral.
UGAGGAAUAUUGGGCAAUGCCCGCAAGGGUGACCCAGCAACGCCGCGUGGAGGAUGACUGUCGUAAGAUUGUAAACUCCUGUUAGAGGGGAAGAAUAGUACCGGUUGGACCGGUAUAUGACUGUACCCUCAGAGAAAGCCCCGGCUAACUACGUGCCAGCAGCCGCGGUAAUACGUAGGGGGCAAGCGUUGUCCGGAUUUAAUGGGUGUAAAGGGCGCGCAGGCGGGAUAAAAAGUCAGUGGUGAAAUCCUACAGCUUAACUGUAGAACUGCCUUUGAUACUUUUAUUCUUGAGUUCGGGAGAGAGAGACGGAAUUCCAGUUGUAUUGGUGAAAUACGUAGAUAUCUGGAAGAACACCAGUUGCGAAGGCGGUCUCUUGGUCCGACACUGACGCUGAGGCGCGAAAGCGUGG